This 76-nucleotide small RNA is filed under the name Methylobacterium nodulans ORS 2060. RNAcentral describes it as "Makes More Granules Regulator RNA (mmgR)". It matches the Rfam family "Makes More Granules Regulator RNA (mmgR)". Rfam says of the family: SuhB later renamed mmgR (makes more granules regulator) was a putative non-coding RNA found multiple times in the Agrobacterium tumefaciens genome and related alpha-proteobacteria. Other non-coding RNAs uncovered in the same analysis include: speF, ybhL, metA, and serC. Several studies inSinorhizobium meliloti showed that suhB element is indeed a non-coding RNA:firstly it was detected on Northern blot and called Sm8RNA, secondly in an RNAseq study referred to as SmelC689. The record is from Rfam by way of RNAcentral. Lineage: Bacteria; Pseudomonadati; Pseudomonadota; Alphaproteobacteria; Hyphomicrobiales; Methylobacteriaceae.
UGUGCCUGCCCUCUUUGGGCGUUUCCUCCCUAGACUUCCGGCCGUCUCGCAAAGGGCGGCCUUUUUUCUGGCUAGG